RNAcentral lists this ribosomal RNA (446 nucleotides) under uncultured bacterium. Its description in RNAcentral is "bacterial SSU rRNA". It matches the Rfam family "Bacterial small subunit ribosomal RNA", at positions 354 to 796 of the family's 1533-position model. The record is from RNAcentral.
GUAAGGAAUAUUGGUCAAUGGACGCAAGUCUGAACCAGCCAUGCCGCGUGAAGGAAGACGGCCCUACGGGUUGUAAACUUCUUUUGUACGGGAAAAAACCUCCGGUCGUGCACCGGAGCUGAUGGUACCGUAAGAAUAAGCAUCGGCUAACUCCGUGCCAGCAGCCGCGGUAAUACGGAGGAUGCAAGCGUUAUCCGGAUUCAUUGGGUUUAAAGGGUGCGCAGGCGGAAUGAUAAGUCAGUGGUGAAAUCCUACGGCUCAACUGUAGAACUGCCAUUGAUACUGUCGUUCUUGAGUACACUUGGAGUGGGCGGAAUGUGUCAUGUAGCGGUGAAAUGCUUAGAUAUGACACAGAACACCGAUCGCGAAGGCAGCUCACUAAAUUGUAACUGACGCUCAGGCACGAAAGCGUGGGGAUCAAACAGGAUUAGAAACCCCAGUAGUCC